This 253-nucleotide ribosomal RNA is filed under the name uncultured bacterium. RNAcentral describes it as "partial 16S ribosomal RNA". It matches the Rfam family "Bacterial small subunit ribosomal RNA", at positions 524 to 776 of the family's 1533-position model. The record is from RNAcentral.
UACAGAGGGGGCAAGCGUUAUUCGGAAUUAUUGGGCGUAAAGGGCGCGUAGGCGGCCUGGCAAGUGGAAGGUGAAAUCCCUCGGCUUAACCGAGGAACUGCCUCCCAAACUGCUUGGCUUGAGACCAGGAGAGGUGAGUGGAAUUCCCAGUGUGGCGGUGAAAUGCGUAGAUAUUGGGAGGAACACCAGUGGCGAAGGCGGCUCACUGGACCGGAACUGACGCUGAGGCGCGAAAGCGUGGGGAGCAAACAGG